CCAAGGAGUUUAACAUACGUGCAAGUUUGUGAGUUUUGCGAAACUCAUGGGCGCAAUUAAAGUGAAGGCUGGCAGUUGCGUCGGCUGAGAUACGAUCCCGGCACUUUGCCGAGUGUCGGGCGGAGUAUCGUCCCAUCUGAGCGGUUCGACCGCUAGGUGGAGACUGAGCACGUCUGUUGAGACCCGAAAGAUGGUGAACUAUGCUUGAGCAGAACGAAGCCAGAGGAAACUCUGGUGGAGGUUCGUAGCGGUUCUGACGUGCAAAUCGAUCGUCAGACUUGAGUAUAGGGGCGAAAGACUAAUCGAACCAUCUAGUAGCUGGUUCUCUUCGAAGUUUCCCUCAGGAUAGCUGGAGCUCGAAGUGGAUAGUUUUAUCCGGUAAAGCGAAUGAUUAGAGGAAUUGGGAAUGAAUGAUUCUCAGCCUAUUCUCAGAAGUUUGAAUGGGGUAAGAAACGGUCCUUCCGUAAUUAUGAAGUAUUG
RNAcentral lists this ribosomal RNA (480 nucleotides) under Nematoda environmental sample. RNAcentral's name for it is "partial large subunit ribosomal RNA". It matches the Rfam family "Eukaryotic large subunit ribosomal RNA", at positions 666 to 1105 of the family's 3401-position model. Lineage: Eukaryota; Metazoa; Nematoda. The record is from RNAcentral.